This 460-nucleotide ribosomal RNA is filed under the name uncultured bacterium. RNAcentral describes it as "partial 16S ribosomal RNA". It matches the Rfam family "Bacterial small subunit ribosomal RNA", at positions 338 to 795 of the family's 1533-position model. The record is from RNAcentral.
CCUACGGGAGGCAGCAGUGAGGAAUAUUGGUCAAUGGGCGAGAGCCUGAACCAGCCAAGUCGCGUGAAGGAUGACGGCCCUACGGGUUGUAAACUUCUUUUGUCAGGGAGCAAUUGAGUCCACGUGUGGUCUUAGCGAGAGUACCUGAAGAGAAAGCAUCGGCUAACUCCGUGCCAGCAGCCGCGGUAAUACGGAGGAUGCGAGCGUUAUCCGGAUUUAUUGGGUUAAAAGGGUGCGUAGGCGGAAUAUCAAGUCAGCGGGAAAAAUUCGGGGCUAAACCCCGUCGUGCAGUUGAAACUGAUGUUCUUGAGUGGGCGAGAAGUAUGCGGAAUUCGUGGUGUAGCGGUGAAAUGCAUAGAUAUCACGAAGAACUCCGAUUGCGAAGGCAGCAUACCGGCGCCCAACUGACGCUGAAGCGCGAAAGCGUGGGUAUCGAACAGGAUUAGAUACCCUAGUAGUC